GGCAAACGGGUGCGUAACACAUUGGCAAUCUACCCCGAAGUUCGGGAUAACCCGCCGAAAGGCGGCCUAAUACCGGAUGUGGUGCUCGGUCGCGAGACCGAUCAGUAAAGCCCAAAAGGCGCUUCGGGAGGAGCCUAUGGCCUAUCAGCUAGUUGGCGGGGUAACGGCCCACCAAGGCAAUGACGGGUAGCGGGUGUGAGAGCAUGACCCGCCUCACUGGGACUGAGACGCUGCCCAGACACCUACGGGUGGCUGCAGUCAAGAAUAUUCCACAAUGGGGGGAACCCUGAUGGAGCGACGCCGCGUGCAGGAUGAAGGUCUUCGGAUUGUAAACUGCUUUUCCAAGGGACGAAGCUUCGGCUGACGGUACCUUGGGAAUAAGAGGUUGCUAACUCUGUGCCAGCAGCAGCGGUAAUACAGAGACCUCAAGCGUUAUCCGGAUUUAUUGGGCGUAAAGCGUCCGCAGGUGGCACGUUAAGUCUCGCGUCAAAUCUUCGGGCUCAACCCGGGGGCUGCGCGGGAAACUGGCGAGCUGGAGGACGGGAGAGGCAAGCGGAAUUGCCGGUGUAGUAGUAAAAUGCGUUAAUAUCGGCAAGAACACCAAAGGCGAAGGCAGCUUGCUGGAACGUUCCUGACACUAAUGGACGAAAGCGUGGGGAGCGAAGCGGAUUAGAUACCCGCGUAGUCCACGCCCUAAACGAUGAGUGCUGGAUACUGGGAGUAUCGACCCUCCCGGUGUCGUCAAAACAAGCUAACGCGUUAAGCACUCCGCCUGGGGAGUACGGCCGCAAGGCUAAAACUCAAAGGAAUAGACGGGGACCCGCACAAGCGGUGGAACAUGUGGUUUAAUUCGACGGUAAGCGAGGCACCUCACCAAGGUUUGACAUGCAACUGCAAAUCCCAUGAAAGUGGGACUCCUUCGAGGGUGUUGCACAGGUGCUGGAUGGUUGUCGUCAGCUCGUGCCGUGAGGUGUACCCUUAAGUGGGGUAACGAGCGCAACCCCUAUGUCGUGUUGAAAUUCACGACAGACUGCCUCGGCUAACGGGGAGGAAGGUGGGGACGACGUCAAAUCAGCAUGGCCCUUACACCUUGGGCUACACACGUGUUACAAUGGACGGUACAAUGGGUCGCCAAACCGCAAGGUGGAGCUAAUCCCAUCAAAACCGUUCUCAGUUCGGAUUGAGGUCUGCAAUUCGACCUCAUGAGGCUGGAAUCGCUAGUAAACGCGCAUCAGCCACGGCGCGUUGAAUACGUUCUCGGGUCUUGUACUCACCGCCCGUCACGUCAAGAGAGUCGGUAAUACCCGAAGACACGCGUCCGCGUGUCGAAGGCAGGACCGAUGAUAGGGACGAAGUCGUAACAAGGCA
Molecule: ribosomal RNA, 1368 nt
Filed under: metagenome
Description: bacterial SSU rRNA
Rfam family: Bacterial small subunit ribosomal RNA
Source: RNAcentral